RNAcentral lists this long non-coding RNA (1087 nucleotides) under Nicotiana benthamiana. Its description in RNAcentral is "long non-coding RNA (NBEN_LNC021885)". Lineage: Eukaryota; Viridiplantae; Streptophyta; Magnoliopsida; Solanales; Solanaceae. The record is from RNAcentral.
UGACAUCAGCUGACAUAAGGUACCUACGAAGAUCAGGUGAAUAACAACGAUAGCCCUUCUGGACACGAGAAUAACCAAGGAAGACACACUUAAGAGCUCGAUGAGCUAACUUAUCUUACCCAUGGGCUAAGUUAUGAAUGAAACAAGUGCUCCCAAAAACACGAGGGGGAACAGAGUAUAAGGGUCACUGGGGAAACAAUACCUCAUACGGAAUCUAAUUCUGGAUGGGAGAUGAAGGCAUACGAUUAAUCAAAUAACAAGAUGUGAGAAUUGCAUCGCCCCAAAAACGCAUCGGAACAUGAGAUUCAAGGAGAAGUGUGCGCGUAGUCUGAAUAAUGUGCCUAUUUUUUCUCUCUGCAACCCCAUUUUGCUGAGGGGUAUAAGGACAAGAGGUNNNNNNNNNNNNNNNNNNNNNNNNNNNNNNNNNNNNNNNNNNNNNNNNNUUUUGCUGAGGGGUAUAAGGACAAGAGGUCUGAUGAAUAAUUCCUUGAGAAGUCAUAAACUGCUGAAAUUGAGAGGAUAAAUAUUCUAAGGCAUUAUUAGAGCGAAAAGUACGAAUAUAAACAUCAAAUUGAUUUUUAAUUUCAGCACAAAAAUUCUGGAAUAUAGAAAACAACUCAUAACUAUCUUUCAUUAAGAAAAUUCAAGUACAUCUUGAAUGAUCAUCAAUGAAACUUACGAAACAACGACAUCUCAAGGUUGAACUGACUCUACUAGGACCCCAUAUAUCCGAAUGAACUAAAGAAAAAAUAGACUCUCUUGAAUGAUCAUCAAUGAAAUUAACAAAAUAACGAAACCCCAAGGUUGAACUGACUCUACAAGGACCUCAUACAUCAGAAUGAACUAAAGAAAAAACAGACUCUGCAUGACUCUCAAUACUAUGAGGAAAUGAGGCUCGGGUAUGUUUCCCGAGCUGACAUGACUCACACUCUAAUGUGGAUAAACUAGACAAACCAGGCACCAUCUUUUGAAGCUUGGACAAGCUAGGAUGUCCUAAACGAUUGUGAAGUAGUUCUAGAGGAUUUGCAACUAGACAGGCUUUGGAGGAUUUUAGUGAGUUAAGGUAGUAGAGUCCUUCUGAUUCAAG